Molecule: ribosomal RNA, 33 nt
Filed under: Laccaria bicolor
Lineage: Eukaryota; Fungi; Basidiomycota; Agaricomycetes; Agaricales; Hydnangiaceae
Also listed under: 10 other names
Description: partial 28S ribosomal RNA
Source: RNAcentral
CAGGUAGGACUACCCGCUGAACUUAAGCAUAUC